CCUACGGGAGGCAGCAGUGAGGAAUAUUGGUCAAUGGACGCAAGUCUGAACCAGCCAUGCCGCGUGCAGGAAGACGGCUCUAUGAGUUGUAAACUGCUUUUGUAAGAGGGUAAACGCAGAUACGCGUAUCUGUCUGAAAGUAUCGUACGAAUAAGGAUCGGCUAACUCCGUGCCAGCAGCCGCGGUAAUACGGAGGAUUCAAGCGUUAUCCGGAUUUAUUGGGUUUAAAGGGUGCGUAGGUGGUCGGAUAAGUCAGAGGUGAAAGCUCGAGGCUCAACUUCGUAAUUGCCUUUGAUACUGUUCGUCUAGAGAGUAGUUGCGGUAGGCGGAAUGUAUGGUGUAGCGGUGAAAUGCUUAGAGAUCACACAGAACACCGAUUGCGAAGGCAGCUUACCAAGCUGCUUCUGACGUUGAGGCACGAAAGCGUGGGGAGCAAACAGGAGUAGAUACCCUGGUAGUC
RNAcentral lists this ribosomal RNA (460 nucleotides) under uncultured bacterium. Its description in RNAcentral is "partial 16S ribosomal RNA". It matches the Rfam family "Bacterial small subunit ribosomal RNA", at positions 338 to 795 of the family's 1533-position model. The record is from RNAcentral.